UCUAUCACAGCUCAGUCGGUAGAGCUCGAGGCUCUUAAUUUCAGGGUUGUGGGUUCGAGUCCUAGGUAAAGGUAAAG
This is a non-coding RNA of Podarcis lilfordi (Lilford's wall lizard), 77 nucleotides long. The record is from the annotation of a GenBank genome assembly. Lineage: Eukaryota; Metazoa; Chordata; Lepidosauria; Squamata; Lacertidae.